GUAAAUUACUUAUAACUGAAUCUACAAAACAUUAAUAAAUAAUUUACAUAUCACUUAUUAAUCAUUUAUGAACACAUAGUCAUGUUUCAUAAAUGAUUAGUUCAUUAUUUACUAAUCACUUGUAAAUGACUUGUAACGGCAUUUACAAAACAUAUAUAAAAUGUUAGCAUGUCACUUGCUAAUCAUCUAUAUAUGUUUUGUAAAUGAUUAGUUCAUCAUUAACGAACCACUUAUUAAUGACUUACAACUGAACGUUAUUAUAAAGUGAUACCCAAUUUAAUAAUAAUAAUUAUAAAAAAUAAAUGGGGAAAACUCAAUUAUUCCAAAUGUUUGACCGGCAGUGUAUAUAAAAAGCUGCAAGCAAAUUCUUCAAAAUUCUCUUUUUGUGUUUUACAUCAGAAAGUUACAGCAUACAGGUUUGGAAUGACAUUAAUAAAAAAUUCUCAAAUUUUAUAAGCUCUACUGUGAGUGGUUAGUGAAUAGGCAGGUUCUUGCACUCAAUAUGGUAUUCAACUGUUGAAUGAAUUCGUCCAUUAAAGUUUUAAUUACAAUAACAGCCGAUGUCUGCCAGUGACGAGGACCUAGUCAGGGUCUCUGAUCCCAUAACCAUGACCUUGUCCUCAAAUUCAUCCUCUGCAAACGGUGAGUUGAUAUUGGUGUAUGUACCAAUUUGCAAUUCAAAUGAUGGAUACUGACUUCAAACUGUGCCUACAGUGAAUGUGAGCCGCGCAAUAUGUGUAUCAGCCACAAUUCCCCAGUCACUCCUCCACAGGGCAUUGUCCAUGACUCUUAGAUUGAUAGAGAGUGUCAACAUCUGUUUAGGUGGCAGAGUAGAAAAAAGGGAGAAAGAAGCAAUUUGGGCAGGUUAUUCUUUGGGGAAUUUGGGAGUAAGUCAAUCUGAUGAGUAUCGCCUAAAUGCGCAAACACACACACACACACACACACACACACACACGCACACACACACACACACAUACAUACAUCUUUGUUAUUAGAUCUUAACACGGUAUCCAAAUGAUGAUUCAUCUGCCUUUCAGGUAGUGGGGAAAAAUGGGGCAUACGCUUGUCCUGACAGACUGAUCCAGAUAUAAUGUAAAAUAUCUCUCAUUCCGGACCCUUCCAGCGGUGGACACACACACACACACACACACACACACACACACACACACAGACAGGUGUAUGUGCUGCAUAAUUCAUAUGACUUCCACUCUCACUCUGGCCUGGUUUCCUG
Molecule: long non-coding RNA, 1231 nt
Organism: Cyprinus carpio (common carp)
Lineage: Eukaryota; Metazoa; Chordata; Actinopteri; Cypriniformes; Cyprinidae
Source: Ensembl